RNAcentral lists this transfer RNA (57 nucleotides) under Pleocnemia hemiteliiformis. RNAcentral describes it as "partial tRNA-Leu". The record is from RNAcentral. Lineage: Eukaryota; Viridiplantae; Streptophyta; Polypodiopsida; Polypodiales; Dryopteridaceae.
AAACGAAAAUCCGUUGGUUUCACAGGACCGGGAGGGUUCCCCCUCUUCCCCCCCCAA